Molecule: transfer RNA, 70 nt
Filed under: Dipodomys ordii (Ord's kangaroo rat)
Lineage: Eukaryota; Metazoa; Chordata; Mammalia; Rodentia; Heteromyidae
Rfam family: tRNA
About the family: Transfer RNA (tRNA) molecules are approximately 80 nucleotides in length. Their secondary structure includes four short double-helical elements and three loops (D, anti-codon, and T loops).
Source: Rfam by way of RNAcentral
GGGAAUGUGGCUUAGUGGUAGAGUGUUUGCCUAGUAUGCAUGAAAUCCUGGGUUCGACUCCUCAGUACCA